This 460-nucleotide ribosomal RNA is filed under the name uncultured bacterium. RNAcentral describes it as "partial 16S ribosomal RNA". It matches the Rfam family "Bacterial small subunit ribosomal RNA", at positions 338 to 795 of the family's 1533-position model. The record is from RNAcentral.
CCUACGUGUGGCAGCAGUGAGGAAUAUUGGUCAAUGGCCGGAAGGCUGAACCAGCCAUGCCGAGUGAAGGUCAGUGCCCUAUGGGCGUUAAACUUCUUUUGUGCGGGAGCAAUAAUGGUCACGUGUGGCCAGACGAGAGUACCGUACGACUAAGCAUCGGCUAACUCCGUGCCAGCAGCCGCGGUAAUACGGGGGAUGCAAGCGUUAGACGGAUGUUGUGGGUUUAAAGGGUGCGUAGGCUGGGAGGUAAGUCAGCGGUGAAAUGCCCCCGCUCAACGGGGUGAAGUGCCAUGGAUACUGCCUUGCUGGAAUGCGGAUGCCGUGGGAGGAAUGUGUGGGGUAGCGGUGAAAUGCAUAGAUAUCACACAGAACACCGAUUGCGAAGGCAUCUCACGAAUCCGCGAUUGACGCUGAUGCACGAAAGCGUGGGUAUCAAACAGGAUUAGAUACCCCUGUAGUC